Non-coding RNA from Potamilus streckersoni, 74 nucleotides. The record is from the annotation of a GenBank genome assembly. Lineage: Eukaryota; Metazoa; Mollusca; Bivalvia; Unionida; Unionidae.
CGCUCUGAUGGGCUAGUGGUUAGAGCGUCCGCCUCGGAUGCGGGAAUUCGUGGAUUCGAUCCCCAUUCGAGUCA